UACGUAGGUGGCAAGCGUUGUCCGGAAUUACUGGGCGUAAAGCGUGCGCAGGCGGUGAUGUAAGACAGGUGUGAAAUCCCCGGGCUUAACCUGGGAACUGCAUUUGUGACUGCAUCGCUGGAGUGCGGCAGAGGGGGAUGGAAUUCCGCGUGUAGCAGUGAAAUGCGUAGAUAUGCGGAGGAACACCGAUGGCGAAGGCAAUCCCCUGGGCCUGCACUGACGCUCAUGCACGAAAGCGUGGGGAGCAAACAGG
Molecule: ribosomal RNA, 253 nt
Filed under: uncultured bacterium
Lineage: Bacteria
Description: partial 16S ribosomal RNA
Rfam family: Bacterial small subunit ribosomal RNA
Source: RNAcentral